GGGCGUGUGGCUCAGUUGGUAGAGCGCCCGCUUAGCAUAAUUUCUUCUAUCGUUGAAAAUAUUAAGCAUGCGGAAGGUCCCCGGUUCGAUUCCGGGCUCGUCCA
Molecule: non-coding RNA, 104 nt
Organism: Cladorrhinum sp. PSN259
Lineage: Eukaryota; Fungi; Ascomycota; Sordariomycetes; Sordariales; Podosporaceae
Source: the annotation of a GenBank genome assembly